UAUUGACUAGCGCUCCAACCCAUUGUACGUGAUAGGCUAAGGGAGCGGGACAUCUCUAAGUGCUUGACCAAUGACAACAGAGACACAGUAGAGGCACUAAAUUACUAGGAGCAG
Notothenia coriiceps (black rockcod) is the source of this 114-nucleotide long non-coding RNA. RefSeq lists it as uncharacterized. The transcript is spliced from 5 exons. Lineage: Eukaryota; Metazoa; Chordata; Actinopteri; Perciformes; Nototheniidae. The record is from RefSeq and is a predicted model, not a curated record.